UUUGUUUCCCUUUCUAAAAAUCAGAAAACCUCCCCUUUUUCCCACUUUCCUUUUCGGCUAGGGUUUUUAAACCCAUCAUCGUCGACGCCUUUGCGAUGCCAUCGUGGGUGCUGGUCGAACCGGUACAACACGGGCUUUCUAGCCCUUGUAUAAAACACCUUUGAAGACCAAGCUUUCUCAGCGAAAAAAUGAGAGAAAAAGGCCCUUUCCCCUUUUUUGGAUUCGAUUUUAUCGAGGGUGAAGAAACUUCGACGACAUUAUCCCGGGGUUCAGGUAAUCUUCUUUUCUCUUUUUCUUUUUAUAUUUUUUGUUAAAAAUAGAUUUGAAAUCAGAAAAUAAGAAUACGAAAAUAAAAAAACCGAGAUUGAACCCUUUUUUUUUGCUUUUCGAUUGCCUAAUCCAGUCUGUCCCCUUACAAUAUUUGGUUUCUGGGCUUAUAUAGCCGAAAAAAAUUUGAUUUAAUAUUAUUGCUAUUGUCUAUGCUUUGCUUGUUUUCUUGCUCGUUUCUGCUCUAUUUUUUUGCCUUUUUGCUCUGUUGUCUUGUUUUGUUUCCUUUUUUGCUUUCUUUUGCAGGCGCACAAAAGGUCAAUGGGGCUGUAGAUGGUCAUUUUGGUGCAACGGGACAAGGGGAGCCGAGCCUCUAGCGUUGGACGUGCCGACGAAGCAUGUGGAAGGGGUACGGCACGAAGGCGAUUCAGAAACCCUAGGGUUUUUGAAUUGUUUUAGGCUAUUGGGCUUGUAGGAAUUGGGUUAGGGGUUUGGGUCUGCUGGGUUUUGUAAUUGGGUAAUUUAGGCCUGCUACUUAUUUGUAAUUUGGACAUUGGGCAUGUUAAUUUUUUGGGUUUUACUAUUGUUGGGUUUUUUAACGGGUAGGGCAAAUUUGGGCCCGUACACUGCAUAUUCAUGAAAUUUUGAAUUAUAUGGUGUUGAGGUGAGUUGUCAAUGGUUAUUUGAACUAAUUUUUUAUGGUUGAGAGUGAAUAUUAAAACAUGGACUAAAUUGAAUAGAAUAGAAAAUAAUAUGAUUUAAUUGCUAUAUGAUAUUUGGUAUGAAAUUGAAGCAUGCUAUACUACAUGAUUAAAUGAUGAUAAAUUGAGAAUGUUAGAAUGUGAAUUGAACAAUAUACAAUGAAUCAAAAAUUGGUUACCCUAUCAGUUGUAUAGUUGGCAUACCAUAGGGUCAGGAUAUCAAUUAAAAACUGUCGUUGCCAGGAAACUCGGAGUGGUAGAUUGUACAAAUAUGGUAUAAAAUGAUUAUGUAAUAUGUGGAAUAUAAUGUGAAAUGGUAUGAUACGUAUAAGAAAUAUGAAAAUGGAAGUUUUUGGUAUGAAAUUGCUUGUGAAUUGAGUUUAAAUUAAAUGUAUGCAUUGGUUAAACAUGUAUUAUAUUGACUUGAAUCAUCGAAAUACCACUAAACGUUUUCUCUGUUCGCAAAUAUAGUUCAUUCUCAAUAGUGCAUGUAGUAGAUCCAACAUCCAGGAAGUGAUCCCCGACUCAGCAAAGUUUGUAUAAUUCUAUUUUUUUCUAAGUCUAAGAUGGCGGCUUUUGCGAUUGCUGAAACAUAUGCAUCAUCUGCUGAAGCUGUAGCUGGAGGUCAUCGUACUUUUUGCUCUGCUCUGCUACCAUCGCUCGUGCCUCUGCCUCUCUCGCUGCAGCUGCUGCCUCCCUCUCUUCUGCCUCUGUUCUAAGUUGUUGCUAGAGUUCUUCAUAUUUUCAUUGAACCUCGGCAAUUUGCUCAACCGUGUUCGCUUGCAUCUAAGCUAUCUGGUCUCUUAACCUCUGAACUUCAGCUUGAGCUUGACUUCCGAAAGGCAUGUAUUGCUAGGAGCCGGAUCCAAAAUAUUGGGUCGGGGUAACACCAGAUCCUUGAAAUCGAACCUGACCGUACCUUUCAGGACCCAAAACUUUAGUGAUAAUUCUGUUAUCAAUGUUCUCAAGAUUAACAGAACUAUCACUCGAAGCAAUCGCUUCAUAUUUUGCCUUCUUCUCCUUUAGUUUCUCCUAAAAAAUCAAUUAAAGAGCUAGAAACGAAAUAUAUAAUAAAAAGGAAUGCAAACUAAUGAUGAAUUGAAUUAAACAAUUAUAAUUAAAGAUUAUAAAUAUUUAGAAUAAAUCAAAUAUUAUUAAGUAAAUAUACCAUAAUUUCUCCAGCUUCGGAUGUCAUAGGAGAUCCAUCUUUCUUCCUAUGCGUAAUCUCAAAAAGCUGAAGGCGUCCAACUUUUUGUCCGGAUUUGACUUCCUACAAUAUAGUAGUAAAAAUAUUAUUUAAUAAUAGAAAGUUAUUAAUAUUUGAAAGAAUUAAUAAAUUCAUAAUACCUCGGCCUCAGCUACAGAAGCAAAACUUCUCGACCUUGCCGUGUGCGUGAAUUUUUGUUUUUCCCUGCUGCUUGUUCCAACUCGCUCACGGUCCUACAUAAUAAAAUUAUUAUUACGUAUAUAGUAAACACUAUAUAUAAGAGUUUGGAAAUACGCAAUACCUCUCCUUUCUUUGAAUUCCAAAAUCUAACAGCAUCUUCUCAUUGAUACCUCAGCAUUCCCGGCGGGACAUUUCUCAAUUUUUCCUCGAGGCUUAUGUCUUUCUUAAAAUAUUGUUUCUUUAAAGUGCUUUUAUUGUCUCUCCAUCUUUUACCUAAUGCCUUCUUGAUAUAAUCAUCGGAGACUUCUAAAGCAAAUCUCUCCUAAAAAAAUAUAAGUUUAGAAUGUAAAUAUAAAUGAAACUUAAACCAAAGUAUUAUAAAUUACAUUCACAUUUUGUUACCUUAAUAUUAGCGAGAGCCUGAUUUUUGUUUCUAUCAGACAUGUGAUGCCAUGAUUCGUAGUUGAUGGGCAACAUAUUUCCAUUUCGUGCUAAAAUGCCCAAAUAGCCUGCUAAAAGUCGAGCUUCAGAUCCAACAGGCUGACCAUGAGUAUUUCUACUUACUUUAACACGCUCGACAGGAUCUAAGUCGUAUAAAUCUCUAAGCAGCGUACGUCCUCGAACAUUGCGCGUCCCACCACUUUCAGCUGAAAAAUGAUAUACUAUUAUUAUAUUAAAAUUGACAAAUAAUUCAAUAAUAAAAGUCAACACAUGUAAAAUAAACAUAACAUUACUUUGAAAUUCUUCAGGCUCAUCAAGUGUCUCCGGCACAUUCGAAGAUCCAACAACUGUCUACUAUUCACUAUUUCCUUCUUUCGAAUUUGGAGUAUUCUGGACAAUACUUAAAUCUCGUAAUCUUCUUCUACGCAUUUUUCCUGCAAUACACAUAAAAUAGUUAAAGUUUUAGUAACAAAUUACAACAAUAGUAGUACAUAUAAAAUAGUUAAAUUAUAUAACAUGAUAAAGAUUAAAAUUAUAAUAUUACAUAUAAUUAAAAAAUAGUAAAAUCUUACUACAUCAUUAUUUGUAAAUAUCUUCAUCCACAUCAUGUCGAACCCAUUGAUGUUGUGUAUUAGUACUAGGGAUGUUUUCAUCUAAGUUUUGUUCUGGAAAAGGUAAUGUUUCUGAUCUUUCGACGACGUCAUCUCUACUUCCAUUACCCAUGUCAAACAAGUCUCUAGGGGUGUUUCGGAGUACAACAUACCAACCCUCAUCAGUUGGAUCUUUCGAAUAAAAAACUUGUUUCACUUGAGAGGAAAAUACAUAUGGCUCGUCCAUCAAUUGUUGUCCAGUGUGAAUCAAGCGAGAGAAAUUCAACAUUAUAAAACCAAAUUGAUCUUCUUUAAUUCCUCGAGCAGUAUUAACAUCAGCCCAAUCACACCGAAAUAAGACAACUUUCCAUCUGCCAUAGUAAUCCAACUCAAUAAUAUCGGUAAGAAGUCCAUAAUACUCCACAUUACCCUCAACCGGAUUACUGUCCCUAGCACUAGCAUAACUUGUAAUUGAAGAAUUAACAACAACUCCACAAUUUUGAGUUCUCCUCAUUCUCUCACGAUACUUUGUAUGAAAUCUGUAUCCAUUGAUGCGGAAGGCACUAUAUCUUUUUAUUAUUCUGUUCGGACCUUGAGAAAGUCAUUUAACUUCAUCAUUGACGUCCUUUCCACUCCAAACCUAUUGAAUCGAAAGUAAAUUGAAUAAUUAACUAAAUUUCGGGAUUAUAUGUAACUUAUUAACUUUAGUUACAUACCGUUUGACUUAACCAUUCAUGAAAAGAUUCUGUGAAUAACUUAUUAAUGUCUCGAUGUUGCAAUCUUCGAGAGCGUGCACGAGAUCUCAAAAUUUGUUUGUACUCACUAUGUUAAAAACAAGUGUAAUUGGUUAGAAGAUAAACAAAUCAAAACGAUGAAUAUGUGAGGAAAUUUUAGAACUUACUUGCGUAACGGUUCAACUAAAUCGUGGUGAAAAAGUACAUAUCGAUGUGCUUGUAUCCAUCAUAUAUCAUCUAAUUCUGCAAUUUCAACUUUGCCGAUUGGUUCUCCAUAACUUUGGAAUAAAUAAGUUUCGGCCAAGUUAUGAUCAUUGAGCCCAGCAUUUCUAUUUGGUCUAUUCAAUUGUGUUUCAACAUCUUCUAAAUACCUAGAACAGAAUGUUAUGCACUCUUCUACCAAGUAGCCUUCAGCAAUUGAUCCUUCUGGAUAACGCUUAUUGCGACAAUAAGAUUUCAAUUUGCUUAGGAACCUAAACACGAUAUACAAUAUUUAUCAAAAGUUGUAACUAAAUGUAUAGACGCGAAUAAAUAAAUACUUGACAAAUAAAUUAGCACCUUUCUAUUGGAUACAUCCAUCGAUAAAAAAUCGGUCCACCAAGUAUUGCUUCGUGAGGGAGAUGGAUUACCAAGUGCACCAUAAUAGUGAAGAAGGAAGGUGGAAAGUUCUUCUCCAAAUUGCAUAAAGUCAAAGCAACUCGAUCCUGUACUUUCUUAAGUUCUUCAACAUCCAAAACUUUGCCACAAAUAGCUUUCAUUAUAUUGGAUAGUUCAAUUAUACAGGACGUCACAUUUUUUGACAUGCAGCACCGUAAAGCAACUAGGAGUAAAUCUUGCAUCAAGAUGUGGUAAUCAUGCGAUUUUAAUGAAUAUAAUCUUCGAUCUUUAAGACUCACACAUCGAGAUAUAUUUGACGCAUACGCAUCUGGGACCUUUAUAUCCUUCAACACCAUACAAAACACCUAUUUCUCUUCCUUUGACAUUGAAAAAAUAGAAGGUGACAACCGAUAUUUCCCAUUCGAAAGUACUUGAGGAUGAAGAUCACGUCGAAUUCUCAUGUCAACUAAAUCAAGUUGACUCUGAAGAUUGUCUUUUGAUUUUCCAUCGACAUUCAAAAUUGUCCCAAUUAUGUUCUCGCAGACAUUCUUCUCAAUAUGCAUGACAUCAAGAUUGUGGAGUAAAAUAUUAUGCUCCCAAUAAGGCAACUCAAAAAAAAUACUUCUUUUUUUCCACAAGUCUGCCUCAUUAGGAUCAUCCUCUUUGUCAGAUUCAUCAUCGGAUUCAUCCCUCGAUCUUCUCUUUGAUUGCGUGUUAGGUGGUUGAUUCAUCUUCCCAUAACUGAAGUUGAUAUCUUUUAACAUAAACAAGAUUUCAGAUCCAACAGUCUGCUGAGGAGCUCCUCUGUACUUUUCAGUACCGUCAACUAGAGUCCUUUGAAAUCUAAAUUUAUGAUUUCCAUCUAACCACCGACGAUGGCCCAUGUAAGAGAACUUCUUCCCAUUGUACAACCACUUCGAACACGUUUGCGCAGCACAACAAGGACAAGCAUAACGUCCUUUAGUACUCCAACCCGAUAAAUUAGCAUAAGCCAGGAAAUCAUUAAUUGUCCACAAUAAAGCUGCACGUAAAUAAAAGUUCUCUUUUCUUAAUACAUCAUAUGUCUCAACACCCGACCAUAAUUGUUUUAACUCUUCAAUAAGUGGCUGUAAAUAGAUGUCAAUAUCAUUUCUAGGACCUUUCUCUCCAGGAAUAAUCAUUGAUAAAAUAAAUGAAGAUUGCUUCAUGCAAAUCCAUGGAGGCAAAUUGUAAGGAAUAAGCACCACAGGCCAAGUAUUGUACGAAGUACUCAUGAUUUUAAAUGGAUUAAAGCCGUCAGCUGCUAGCCCAAGCCUCACAUUUCGAGGAUCGCUUGCAAAGCUUGAAAAUUUCAUGUCAAAUGAUUUCCAAGCUAAAUAAUCUACAGAAUGUCUUAACAAUCCAUCAUCAGUCCAUUGAUCAUUAUGCCACCUCAUAGAUUCGGCCGUCUUUGACGACAUGAAAAGCCUUUGAAGUCUUGGUAUUAGGGGAAAGUAUCGCAAAACCUUGACUGGCUUCUUUCUUAACUAUGCCCCACCUUCAUCCGCAUUCACAUCUUCUGUAUUCCCAUUCAUCCAACGAGACUUGCCGCAAACAUUACAACACUGUUGGUUCUUCUGAUCACCCCAGUACAACAUGCAGUCAUUUGGGCAACUAUGAAUUUUAUCGUACCCAAGGCCCAAAUCUUUUAUUAGUCUCUUCAUAUCUUGACAAGAUUGGGGGAUUUUUUCAAAAGGAAACAUCUCUCUCAGAAACUCUAGCAGCAUUGUAAAAGAAUUUCCAGUCCACCCUCCCAAACAUUUUAACUGAAAUAAACGAAUGCAGAAGGACAAUUUCGAAUAUUUUGAUCCCUCGUAAAGUUCUUCAUUCAUUUCAUUAAGUAAAUUGUAGAACUUCGCCACUUCUUCAUUUGGCUCCUCAUAAGGUGCACUUGUUCCCGUUUCGCCAAAAACAUUUCCACCAAUAUUACAAUCAUCGAAUGUAAUAAAGUCAGGUGGAAACGAUUGCUCACCAUGACUGUGCAUAUUAAAUGCAUCCCGCAACAUACCUUCCAUGUCAUCUUGUUUAACAUACUGAUGGUAAUCAGUAUCAGGAUAAGUCGGAUUAAUCGUUGAAGAAGUUCCACUAGAUGUACACUCUCCAUGGAAAAUCCAUUUUUUAUACCCCCGAAUAAAGCCAUCAACAAUUAGAUGUUCGUAGACAACUUCACGAGUAUGCCAAUUGAUGUUGCCACACUUCUUACACGGGCAAAGAAUCAUAUUCUCUUGGCUUGCAUUUUGAAAUGCAAAAUUCAGAAAAUUUUGUACUCCAUUUUGAUAGGCGUUGCUUACCCUUGACAAUUUCAUCCAACUCCUAUCCAUUUCGUAGUUCUUGAAUUCUAAAGUUGACACUAAAUUACACAGGUAAGUUGUUUAUUAUGUAAGUCUUGAUAUGAUAUAUUUUUAUGUUUUAUGUAAGUUAUGUAGAUUAUGUAAGUUAUGAAAUUUGAACUUUAAACUAUAUGCUUUUAAGGAAAUUAUUAGAUUACACUACAUGUAUUAGUUAAGUUAUGUAAGUUGUUAUGUAUGUUAUGUGAGUUAUGUAAAUUAUGUAAGUUAUGUGAGUUAUGUAAGUUGUUAUGUAAAUUAUGUAAGUUAUAUGAGUUAUGUAAGUUAUGUAAUUUAUUUAAGUAAUGAUCAAUAUUAAUACUAUUUUGAUAAAAAUUAGUUAUAACUUUUAAAGACAUUUAAAAUUAUUAAAUAUUAAAAUCAAACAUUAUUAAUAUAAAAAAAUAGUAAUUUUUUAAGAUUCAUCAUACGUGGCGUUGUUACACCUAGGGAGGAUCCAUUAUAUCUUACAGUUCAAUAUAAGGUAACCCGUCAGGUUUCCAGCCUAUAUACUUUGAAUCUUUAAAAUAUUUAAAAUAAGGUUGGAGAGAAGGUCAGCUAUUGUUUUAAUUGCUUAUAACUGCAGUUACUAUAAUAAAGUAAUAUUUUAUAGACAAAGGCUCCACAAUGAUCACCAUCAAUUAUAUAAUUAUUCAAUGCUCCGCAAAUUAUAACACAAAACAAACAACAAUAUAAAUCAUACCAAGUAUGGAGAGAGACCUACCUUAGCAGAUAUUUCCAAAUUUGUCCUCCAUAUAAAUUAAUUAGAGCUAUAAUUUCUCUUCCAAAAAAAAAAAAAAAUACCAGCUGCUAUCAUGAACAUUUAAAUACUUGUGCACAUAACGAGAUGAAUUAUUCAAUUACAUAAUUAAAACAUUACUAACUUAUACAAUGCUCAAACUUAACACAUUAUAUAAUUAUUCAAUUAUAUUACAUACACACAAUUAUAUUAAUUCAAUAUGACAAAAAAAUGUAUGUAUUUAUUUCUUUUAAACAUGUACAAUUGAAAUAAAUCAAAGUUUUAUACAUACAUAUGAACCGCAAUUUAAGUUUCAUUUAUAUAAUAACACCAAAUGAAAAUUUAUGUAUCAAAUUAUAAGUUUGAUCAAUAUUUAUGUAUAAAUUUAAUAUUUAUUCCUAUAAAUAUUAAAAUAUUCACUUAUUCAUAUAAUUAACACAUUUUCAAAAAAGAUUUUAUUGAGGUGAGCUGAAACGGGAUUAGCACAGAUCAGAAAAAAGAAGAGACCAAGAAUUUACUUAAUGAAACUUACUUUGCCAAAUUUGAUCAGCUGAGGUACAAUCUUGAGCACAGUGGACGACGGGAUAGCAAAUCCUACACCAGCUGAUGUACCUGAAAUGCAAAUAACGAAAUCAGAAUGCAUCUAAUUUACUUGGACUCAGGUGUGACAGUAUGGAUAUAUGUCUGACACAGGUAUGUUAAAUUUGUUCUAAGUUUUUCCAUAUAUUUGGACGAUCAUCAUCCCCAGAGCACUGUCUGGAUACAUGUUAAACACAAGUGCCGCACACUGGUACUUCAUGAAAAAUGAAAUGUCAGAGCAAACAUAAGAAGGCAUUACAUAGGAAGCUGUUAGCUAUCAUAACUAUUAUUAUUCUUUGGCCAAGGAAACAUCUAACUCUGAAAUAUCUUCUCAUCAAUAUAGAAAAAUCUUUUGUUUAAGAUUACGGUAAAAAGAGUAAAAUAACCUGUCUGUGUGAAUAUAGCCGUAUUAAUUCUAAUCAGAUUCCCUUUCGAAUCUAACAGAGUACCUCCACUACAACAAAGAAAGAAAGCCAAGAAGUAGCAGCAAUAAAAAACUUGUUCAGAGACAUUAACUUUAAAGUUUCGAGACAGAUACAGAAGAUUAGACAAAUCAUUUGGAGAACCUGUUUCCCGGAUUGAUGGCUGCAUCUGUUUCAAUUCCACCCCCGAUCAAAAAAUUGAAACAUGAACAUAGUUAAAAUACAUACAAUUCAAACCUCAAAUAUGAGCUAAAAAGAAAAAGCAUACAAGUCCAACAUAAUCAGAUGUCAUUGUUGAAAUUAUCAAACCAAAAAGCAAGGAAAUGUAGGAACCACACAAAAGAAUAGCUAAUUUGGGAAUACAGAGCUUACAACAUAUUAAGAAAAUUUUGCAACCAAAAUGUAAUAUUAGCCAGACAUGAUACAUUUCAUAAACAUAAUUUUCGAAGUCCACAAAUCCUAAUUAUCCAUACAAUCAACAUGACCUCCAAGCAUCACUGUUUAUUUGAUUUUCGUUCAGAUGCAAGUAGAUAAACUUACUGCUAGCAGUUAUAAAACUGAGAUGAACACUAAUAUUUUAGUUACAUAGUUCAGAACCCUAAAUCACAUUUCAAAAUUUCAAAAACCCAAAUAGCCCCAAAACCCCGAAAAGAGAAAGAAGCACAACAAUCUAAGAUUACCAAUGUCAGCAUGCUAAAGUCUUGGGUUCAAAAGAACAAGUAAAUGAGAGUACCUUGAUUUGAUGGACUCGCCAAAAGUAGCCUUCAAUCAGGUUUGAUUUCAAAAUGAAAUCCCUUAAUCUUUCUGCUUGCUGCAAAAAUAAAACAGAAGUGAAAUCGAAAUGGAAAUGAAAUCGAAAAUAAAAUGUUUGCUUGCUGUAAUGAAAUCGAAAUUAUAAUAACCAUAUUUAACCCAGUGACAACAGAUUGAAACAAACAUGAAAUUAUAAUAACCUGUCGAUCGAAAAGAGAGAGGGAGACGGCAAAUGGGUUUGAUUUGGGGAAAUUUUAGGGUUUAGGGGAAACUUUGAUUUGGGGGAAAAUAAGGGUUUCAGGUUUGCAAUGGGGUGAAAUGGCUGAAACAAAAACGACGACGUUUUGUUAAAUGUAAUGACGCCAGUAAAUUGCAAAGGAAACGACGUAGUUUUAAUUAAACUUUUAGUAGCGUUUUUAAAAAAAGCAACGCUAAAAAUAGAGAAUUAGCGGCGCUUUUUUUAAAAAUGCCGCUAAUUCCCUUGGAGACAUUGAAUGACGUCGUUUAUGCUAAAGUGAAUUUUUUUGUGGCAUUUUUGUCAAAAACGCCACUAAUGCAUUAGAUAGUAAUAAAUUUUAAUAAUUAAUUAAUUAUUAUUUAAUUAUUUUAAUAUUUAAAUUUAAGGUAAAAUCAAUUUAAAAUAAUUUCUAAUAAUUAUUUAAAACAUGAAAUGAAUUGAGAUAAAAAAAUUAUAUUUUCAAAAUCAUUUUUGAUAAAAAUGAACAACAAUGAAAAAAAAUGCAAAUUUUUAAAACAUUAGGUUUUUAUAAAAAAAAAAAAGUUGUCAUUGAUAUUUUUAACUAGGUGUGAGCAAUACUUAUUAAAAUUUUCUUUUAAGAGAUUAUUAUUAUUAUUUGCAUCUUAAAAUUAAAGUAAGCCAAGUUUAAUUUCGAGAGUCGAUUGCAUGCAAAGAAAGUUAUUAAACACAUAUUAUUUUUUAGAUUUUGAAAUUAUAAUAAAUUCAAAUUCAAUAUUUAAUCAUGAUGCAUUAAAUUUGAGAAUUUCAUUAACAUUUCGUAUUCAAUAAUUUUAAGAACCACCUCAUCAAAUUUCGUAAAUACUAAACCUUGUGUAAUUAUAUGGGAAUAUAAACAUAUAUACAUCAUAAAUAUAUGUAUAAACAUGAGAUCAGGUAGUUAAUUAAACCGCACUCCGAGCACUCCAAGUUAAAACCUAGAUUCAACCAGAACAUCAUUUAAUCAACUAAUAAACCUUAAACCCUAAUAACCUUAGCUAAGCCUUAAAACCUUAAACACUGUAAUAUAUACCGGCCUAAGCCCUAUGUACACUUUAAUACACCAAACCCCAAAUAACAAACUAAUUUAAAACACUAUACCCCAAACCCAAAAUAACAAACCCCAAACCAUGCAUAAGCUUACUGCCAUUGAACCCUAAACCAUAAACUUAAUAUAUAUAUAUACUACGUACCAUUUCAACCCUAAACCAUAGGCCUCAAACUUAAAUAUUAAACACUAAACCCCAAAAUAAAUUUAAUCAACUACUUCUACAAUUUAUUAAUAUAAACAUAAGCUUUUACAUUAUCUAUGUAUAUACACACAUAAACAUCCAUAUGAAUUUUUUUAGGGGUUUAGAGUUUUAGAAUUUAUGGUUUUACAGUUUAGUUAUCAAUUUGUAACUUUUAAUAAUUAAGUAAUUAAAAUAAAACUUUCUCAUAGCUAAGUGAAUUAGUUUAUAUUAAAUCGAAUUAAAAAAAAAGAAAAUAAUAUGAAAAUUAAAUAAGAUCAAAUCGAAACAACUAUCGACGGUUGUCAUAGAUAAAUUUUUUUGCGGCAUUUGGUCCUAAAAACGCCGCUAUUGAUUAGUUUUAGUGGAGUUUUAACAAAAACGCCGCUAUUUCUCUAUUUUUAGUGGCGUUUUACAUAAAAACGCCGCUAUUUUCCCAGUUUUUACUGGCGUUUGGACAAAAACGCCACUAUUUCUCUGCUUUUUAGUGGCGUUUUGGAUGAAAACGCCGCUAUUGAUAACUUUUAGGGGCAUUUGGGACAAAAAUGCAGCUAUUUCCCCAGUUUUUAGUGGCGUUUACGUGAAAACGACGCUAUUGAUCCGUUUUUAGUGGCGUUUUAGAUAAAACCACCGCUAUUGAUAUGUUUUUAGUGGCAUUUUAGACAAAAACGCUGCUAUUUCUCAUUUUCUUGUGGCGUUUGUGAGUAAACGCCGCAAAUGUAUAAUAUUUGCGGCGUUUUUUGUUCAAACGCCAGUAAAAAUGCCGCUAAAAGUCCAUUUUCUUGUAGUGUAUGUUAUGUCACGAUGUCGAGCAUUAGUCAUUAUGAUGAGGCCAAGUCAGUAUGUUGCAUUAUGACUAGGAACCCCUGUAGUCACGAUGUCAUCUUGAAAUAUUGAAAACAUUACAAAUUGGUCAUAAUUCAACCUUGGGUUAGAAAUAGAGUUUUCUAAGCUCGUAUAAGACCUGAAAAUGUGUGUUUAUUGUAUUAUGUAUUUCUAUUACUCGUAAAUAAUUAUUUAAUGGUAUAAAUUAAAUGUAAUUGAUCGUAAUUUUUCUGACAAUGAAUGUGACAUCCUGUAGCCUGGACUCAAUGAUUGAGUUGGGUAAGAGGUGUUACAAAAUGAGUCCAUUUAUGUUAAAACAAAGUUUUAAAUUUUAUAAUCAAGUUGAGUAGCUUAGUGUAUUAAUAUGACAUCCCUUGCACGUGAGGAAUCAAUGCACUUCGAGUAAAGGGUGUUACACUAUAUGUUGCCUUUGGGCUAUGAAGACAUCCAUAUUCUGAUGCUUUCGAGCUUAGCACCUUGGUGUGUUUGGUGGCUCAGAACUAUGUGCCUUUUGGUGUGUCAAGAGGGAUGUGAUAUUAUUACGGGGGUAGAACUUUAAUCUUGCAGUUCAUGUGGCCUUAGGCAAUUUAUUCUCUUUAAAUAUGCCUAAGUCAGUCUAGUUCUCAAAAAGUGAGAAUUCACAAUAGAUAUUCUCCAAGGCACCGAAAAAUAAAGCAGAAGCAACUGAAAUGUAAUAGCCUAUUUUUGGGUCAAAUCAGAACAGUGGUUUCGAGACCACAAAUAUGAAGUAGAAAUAUUUAUUUUAUUAUUCCUUUAAGGUCUACAGCAUGAUAGAAUAAUUGUGUGAAAAUUUCGUUAAGAAAUUUUAUCGAUUGAGUACUUAAUUUAACUAGAAGGACUAGAUUGCAAUAGGUGCAAAACUUGAAUUCUAUAAUUUAAAGGUGUCUAAUUGUUAUUAAAUUUUAAUUAGAGGUCCUUAAAUGGAAAUUAAAUCAUUAUACCUUAGGAUGGACAAAAAUGGACAUGGUUAGGUGAAAUUUCAAAGUUAUGCAUUAAGGGUAUUUUAGUAAUUUGGCUAAUAGGGACAAAAUUAACUAAAUAAAAGAUGUCCAUCUUCUGAAUUUCAUUCCCCCGUAGCUGAAAUUCACAAGGAGUCCAUAGCUAGCAUUUUGGCCACUUUCAAGCUCGAUUGUAAGUCCGUUCUUGUCCUGUUUUUAACGAUUUUUAUAUUUUUGAGAUCGUUGUAACUUGAUUUAGCUAUUUCAAGGACUAAUUUGAAAUAAAUUUAAAGUAUAAAAUUUUACCCAUGUUGAAUGUGCUUGUAUUUUGAUGUUUUAUGAUAGAAAAUGCAUGUUUGUUGUCUGUUAAAUGACUUUUAUAAAGUGAUUUUUGGUAAAAACGUUAAAUAGGGACUUAUUUGUAAAAGUCUAUAAAAUAUGUAGAAAAGUUUGAAUAAAUGGAAAAUGUGGGCUAUCAUGAGCAUGAAAAAGGUUUGGCUAGGCUUGAGUUGUGAAGAAAUUGAAUGAAAUUCAUUUUACGAGCCUAAAAUGUUGAAAAGUUAGGGGCAAAAAUGUAAAAUUUGCCAUAAUGUGUUUUUGUGCUGAAUUGAAUAAUGUGAUGAUUAAAUAAGUUAAAUGUGGUAUUAUAUAUCAAGAAAAACGAAUUUCGGGUCUAGAUCGAGGGAAAACCAAAGUAAUUGACGAAUAGAUCUCUAUGGUCAUUUUUGUAACCGAGGUAAGUUUGUAUGUAAAAUAAACUUUAUUAUAAUUGUAGUUUUAAUGCUUUAAUAUUGUAUGAAUUGUAUAAAAAACUCUAUGGUCCCGUCUAACGAUGUUUUGACAAGCGAUAAGUCCCAAUCGAACCUUAGGAAUAGAUUAGGAUACAGGGGACAUGUCAUUAGGGUUUUAUGUUAUGUGAUCCGAGUGCUGGUCCUGUACGUCCUACCGGUGGCUGAGUAUACCGACAUAUGUUGUGAUUACUUGACAGCUUGUGUGAGCAGCACCAAGUAGCUAUGUCUUGACUGGCAGCUUGUGUGAGCAGGUCUGUUAAUGGCUUAAGAGCGAGCAUAUAUGUGUUAUGAGAUAUAGGUAGCAAUGGCUACAUAUGUGGCACCUUGUGUGCAAGAUUUCCCAAGUAUCUGACAUUAUUAUUCCUAGUGGUUCAUUGGGUAUAACAACAAUGAGACUAUGUAUGAAAUUAUUAGAGAUGGUACAGGUACGUAUUAAAAGCUUAUGAUUAUUAAUUCAUGAAAUGACGAUUUUAAGGUAAGUUGUGAUGAAAGUGAAAUAUGAUAAUGAGAUUUUGGUAAAUUACAUAUCUUAUGUUAAAUUACUUGCAUGUUAAUGUUUGGUAAGGUUUGCUUAUUUCUUUCAUAAGAGCUUACUAAGAUAUAUAACUUACUCCGUUUUAUUUCCAUGUUUUAUAGUGUCACCAAGCUAGCUCGAAUUGGAGAUUCGUUAGAGAUUGCCUCACACUAUCAUCUGUCAUUUUAGGUAUCAAUGAUUUUAAACAUUUUGAGAAUAUGGCAUGUAUAGGGACAUGGUCAUUUUGUUAUAUGUGUCAUCAUGAUUUUUGUAACACUCCUCACCCAUAUUCAACGUCAGAAUAGGGUUACGGAGCAUUACCGGACUUAUAACACAUAUAACUGUUUUCUUAUACUUUAAAUCAAUUCAUACAAUCAUCAUUCAUCUCAAUCAAUUUGUCUCUUAUAAUAGCCUACAAGGCCCUAAACAUGCUUUAGGAAUGGUUUGGGACUAAACCGAUGGCUUACAAAACUUUUACGAAACUUUGAAUUUUUUUCUCAAAACAGAGGACACACACUCGUGUGGGCAGACCGUGUGUCUCACACUAGAUAGGCCCGUGUCACUGGCCGUGUGAAAACAGGGGGUACAUUCUAACUUGGGUCACAUGGCCAACCACACACCCGUGUGUCUAGCCUGUGUGCCUUCGAAGUGGCCACGCAUGCCCGUGUCCCAGGCCGUGUGCUCGGUCGUGCCAAACCUAUAGGGUAUACUGACUUCUGCAACACAGCAAAGUCAUAUGCCCGUGUGAUAGGCUGUGUGCCAAUUAGGGGGUAUACUGACUUGUACCACAUGGCCAGUCCACGACCGUGUGUGAGACCGUGUGGAGCAUAGUGACUUCACUUUAAUUUCAAUACCAAGGGACACACGGCCUUGUAACAUGACCGUGUGUCACGCACGGCUGAGACACACGCUCGUGUCUCUGCCCGCGUGGACAAAAAUAACUUAUUUGCAAAGCCAUUUUGCCACCCUAUUUUUACAUAAUAAUUUGCAACAUUUAUAACUCAAUAGGUAGCCAAACCACAACAUUUCAUAUAUAAUUUAAACCAAUUCUACUACAAUCAUUUUCCCUUCAUAUGCCUAUCACAUAUUAGGACAACAUUGCAUAUUUCCAUUUCAUCUACUACAUGCCAAAACAUACCAUAUUUGAAAACUUAUACACAACCAAAACAUUAUACCAAGUUAAGCCAAAUCACAUAGCUUUAUCAUAUACCACAACAUGUACCAAAAUCACCAUAUUAAAUAACUAUACGUAUCAUAUUUAUAACUAGCCUAUACAUGCCAUAUUUACAUAUAUCCAUAAGUUCAAAGGUACCAAUCGACAACUAGAUAGUGUGAUGUGUAACUCCGACCCGAGCGAGCUAUCGAACCUCUAUAAAACAUGGAAAAGAAAUAAAGUAAGCUUUAUAGCUUAGUAAGCCCAUAUAAUUCAGAAUUUAACUUUCCAUUUAAACAUAAUCAAACAAUUAAUCAAAGUAUAUCAAAUUCAAUUGCCAAAUGCCUAUACACAAGCAUUCAUCAAAAUGUUAGUCUCAUAAGUACAUAUAAUCAACCUUUGUCUCAAUUUCAUACAUCAAUUUCAUGUAACCUGUAUGACAUAUGAAACAAUUCAUUCUCAUUCAUAUAAUCGACAAAUCAUUUAUAUAACCAGGAAUUCAUCCGUAUAAUCGUUAACAGAAUUACUCGUUGAACCUAUUAGAAUAUCGAUAGAUACACGGGUGAUACGCACUAAGUGUAUUAAUUGGUAAUUCGUCAAUUCAUCAUCGUAUUCGCUCUUUCAAGCUAUGAUCGGUAAGCUCCUUCUGAGCUGAUGAAUAGUAAGCUUUAUCGAGCUGGAAACAGUAAGCUCUGAUGAGCUGAGAAUAGUAAGCUCUUAUGAGUUGAUAUAUCAAUAAGCUCAUAUGAGCUGUGGUGAGUCUGCAACACAUGCAGGAUCUCGACCAAAAUGGUAACCUUAAUGACAUGUCACUCGUAUCCUACGAAUUCCUACGGUUCAAACGGGCUCGGUAACCAUCAAACAAUAAGGCAUUCAAAAUUUGAAUAUAUCAUUUACUCAAUUACAUACAUUCAUUUCAAAUAAUUACAAGUAUUUAAAUGCUUGAUUCUAAUUAUACGAACUUACCUCGAAAUGCUCGGAUAGAAAUUAUCAACUAUUCGUCCACUUUCCCUUUUCCCCAAUCUAAUCCUGAUCUCAGCUUAUCUUGAUCUAUAUAUUAUCAAAUUUAGCACAUUCAAUAUUCAGUCUAUUCAAUUUAGCCUAUAAUUCUUAUUUUGGAAAAUUUACACAUUUUCCCCUAAUGUUUCACACUUUUACAAUUUAGUCCCUAUCACAUAAAAUUGCAAAUUCAUGCAAUUAAUCAUAAACCCAAGCUUAGCCAAAUUUUAAUGAAGUCCCUAGCAGCCCAUAUCUGUAACGCCCCCACGCCCGAGACCAUCACUGGAGUCGAGCUUGAGGGGUUACCGAACAUAAUUUAUCAAUUUAAGAACUUCAAAUCAUUUGUUUCUACAUCCACAGCUUUCUAGCUACUCGCGUCACAGUUACAAGAAAAAUCAUAUCUCGAGUUACAAAACUUGAAAUCAAGAUCCGUAAAUUUUCCCUGAAUCUAGAUUCAUAUAUCUAUAUACUAAUUUUAGUCUAGAAUUUUUUAUUGGGAAAAUUAGUACAGUUUAUUAAUUAAAGUAUCCCCUGUUUCAGGGUUCGACUGCUCUGACCUCUAUGUAUUACGAAUCAGAUAUAUCUCUAUAAAAAAUUUCAAUGACUAUGAGGUUUGUUUAUAUUAAAACUAGACUCAAUAAGGAAUCUGUACAUAUAAAUAAAAACUUAUAAUUAUUUUAGUAAAAUUUAUUAUGAAUUUUUAAAGUCAGAACAGGGGAUCCAGAAAUCACUCUGGCCUUGUUUCACAAAAGUUUAAAUAUCUCAUAAAAUAUAAUUUAUAUUCUUGUUUUGUUCAAUCCAUAUGAAAAUAGACUCAUUAAUCUUCAAUUUCAUAACUUACUCAUCAUUUAGUUAUAUUUAUACUAUUUUUAGUGAUUUUUCAAAUUCAUGUCAUUGCUGCAGCAAUAUUCUGUUUUAAGGCAAGUUUCAUCUUUCCAUGAAUUUUUAUGAACUAGAUAACCUGUUAAACUUCCAUGAUAUCAAACAUGAUCUAAAUUAGCCAUCACCAUGACUUAUCAAUAUCAAACAUUUUCUCAACCAAACAUGGCCAUAUCAUAAAAUUAUUUACACAAAAUAGGUAUAUUGCUAUACAUGCCAUACUUAAGUAGUUGUACAAGCCAUUUACCAAGAUAAAAGUCCUUUGGAUAGUGUGAUCGAACUUUCGACCUGUCCCGAUUCCUGAGCCAGCUUGUUCAAAACUACAGUGAAUAAAAAGGAAGGAGUAAGCAUAAAUGCUUAGUAAGUUCAUAUGUAAAUAACAAGUAACAUAACAAUACAAAUAUACCAAACAACUUUAGCAUGGUACCACCAAAACAUAUAUCACAUCUUUAAACAUCAUUCAUCAUCUUACCACCUUAUCGUUGUUGUAUCUAUUUUCAACCCGAGGGUUAAGAACAUACCAGUCCAAAGUGUCCAUUUCACAACACUUACCCAAAACGUCACUUAUAUCUUAAGUGCUUUUCCAUUAAACUAGAAAUUUCACCCGUUGAACACAUCAGAAUAUAACUCGGAUACAUGGAUAAUUUACACAUAAGUGCCACAUAUGUAAUCAAGAAAUCAUGUAACCCGCCCUUAAGUGAACUCGGACUCAACUCAACGAGCUCGAGCGUUCGCAUCCAUAAAUGAACUCGGACUCAACUCAACGAGUUCGGAUGCCUAGUUACAUCUCACGAACUCGGACUCAACUCAACGAGUUCGGACAUUUGCAUCCAUAAGUGAACUCGGACUCAACUCAACGAGUUCGGAUUCUCAACCAUCCUAGUGACAUGUCACUUGUAUCCUAAUCUAUUCCUAAGGUUCAAACGGGCUUUUUCCCUCGAUCUCACAUUUGUCGUCUUCCAUGGAAUAUCGGAACCGAUACUCGGUAGCAAUUCAUAUUUAUCAAGUAGUAAACAUAAUUUGCAUAUUACUCAACAUUAACCACAAAGCAUAAUAUUUCACGAUUAAAAAUUAGCAUAUCAUAUAAUUAACAUUAAUAACUUAAAAAUAACAUUUAUGCUACAUUAUUUACACAUGAACUUACCUUGGUACCAAAAUAUAAAGAUUUUGCAAUUUAGUCCACAAUCUUUUCUUUUCCUCGAUCACAACUUGAAUCUCAUUUUUGUUGAUCUAUAAUACCAAAUUAAUCUUAUUUAAUACAUACAUUUAUCAAAACAGCAUUUAAUAUGAACUUUAAAAAAAUUACACUUUUGCCCCUAAACUUUUGCAUAAUUACACUUUUACCCUUAGGCUCGGGAAUUAAAAUUUUUCCUUAUUCUUAUGUUUUAUAACAUGCUAAUCACUUUUCCCUUCUAUGGCAACAUCAAAUUCUCUCUCUAACAUAUACUUGUGACUAUUAGGUAUUUUUGCCGAUUAAGCCCUUUACUCGUUUUCACUAAAAACCGAGUAGCACAAGUUGUCUAACAUAAUUUAAAACCCCAUAUUCUAUCAUAAAACAUCAAAAUACACAAAUUUCACCUAUGGGUAUUUUUCCAAAUAUAAAACCUAGGUUGAAUUAUUGCUAGCAUAAGCUUAAUCGAGCUUCCGGGAUUCCAAAAACGUAAAGAACAUUAAAAACGGGGCUUGGAAUCACUUACUAUGGAGCUUGGAAGCUUGAAACAAACCCUAGCUAUGGAGAACCCUUGAAAUUUCGGCCUAAUGAAGAAGAUGGACAAAAAUUGGCUUUUAAUUUUGUUUUUAAUUCAUUUUAAUAACUAAAUGACCAAAAUACCCUUUACUACUAAACUUUCCAAAAAUUCCUUCCAUGUCCUAAUUUUGUCCAUGAACUUAAAAUUGGUCAAAUUGCUAUUUAAGACCUCCUCAUUAAUAUUCCAAAACAAUUUCAUACUAAAAACUUCUAGAAUGCAAGUUUUGCAACUUAUUCGAUUUAGUCCCUACUUUCAAUUUAAGCACUUUAGGCAUAGAAUUUCAUCACGAAAUUUUCACACAAUCAUGCAAUCAUGUCAUAAACAUCAAAAUCAUUGUAAAAUAAUUAUUUCUAUCUCGGAUUUGUGGUCACGAAACCACUAUUUCGAUUAAUCCCUAAUUCAGGAUAUUACAAUAUCUUUUAUUUAUUCACACUUUUACCCACAUAGUUUUACAUUUUUACAAAUUAAUCCAUUUUUGACAUUUUUGUCAAAAAUCACUUUACAAAACUAGUAAAUCUAUCAACAAACUUUCAUAAUCUAUCAUAAAAAUCAAAUUGCUCAAGCAUUCAACAAUGGAAACAUGAUAAAUCUUUAACAUUUCUGAAAAUUAAGUAUGGGCUAGCUAGAAUACGAAGCAACGAUCUCAAAAACAUAAAAAUCAUUAAAAAUGGAACAAAAAUCAUACCUAAUUGAGCUUAUAAAUCAAUGGCUGAAUGAAACCUAAUUCUUUGGCUUUCUUCUUGCGAAAUUCGGCUAAAAGAGAGAAAGAUGGACACAAAAUUCAUUUUGUUUUUAUUUAAUUAACCUAUAUUAUCCAAAUUACUAAAUUAACCUUUAAAAAUAUUAUAAAUUACACCAAUUUCCAUGCUAUCAUCAUCCACUAGCCUAUAAAUGGCCUAUUUACCACUUAAGGACCUUUACUUUAAUGUUCUAUAGCUAUUUGACACUUUUAGCUAAUAGAACACAAGUUUUACGCUUUACGCGAUUUAGUCCUUUUUUUACAGAAUUAUGCAUUCAAACAGUAAAAUUUCUUUACAAAACUUUCACACAGUAAUUAUAUCAUGUUGUAAACUUUAAUAAAAUAAUAAAAUAAAUAUUUUAACCUCGAAUUUAUGGUUCUGAAACCACUAUUCCAAUUUGACUAAAAAUGGGCUGUUACAAUUUUAGCCAAAUGCAUAGGCUUGUAAUUAUCAAAUGCUUGGUUUGGUAUUUGGCCAUGUAAAUUGGCUCAUUUUAAUUAAAUUGGAUGUAAGCUUAAGUAUAUUCAAACAUGUGCAAAUAUCUCAUUUAUGAUGUGGUGUAUAAAUGAUUGGUGAAUGGUUGAAUGUGACCUAAUGGUUGUGUUGUUGAAUGGUUAAGAGUGGCUCAUUGGUAUACUAGGAAAUCUAAAAAUAAUUAUGCAUGAAAAAGGUAUGUGUGUUGAUACUUGUGGAUGCGAAUUUGGUAUGAUUUGGCUUGGUAGAAUAUGAUGUUGUAAGUAUGUUAUACGUGAUAAUGAAAUGAUAUGUUUUAACCUUGAUUUUCAAUGUUUGGUUGCCUAAGUAUAUCAUGAUUUAUGCAAUUGAACUUGUGUGUGUGUGUAGGUGGAAAUGAGGGUGACAAAUGGAUUGGUAAAUAACCUUUAUUUUGUCCACACGGAUAGACACAUGGGCGUGUGUCUAAGCCGUGUGUGACACGCGGCUUGCCUCACUGGCAUGUGUUUGGGCUGUGUGUCCACUACACCUUAAUUUUGAGAAACAAAAUGAUCAGAAUUGAGCACAUGGGUAGAGACACGGCCAUGUGUCUCAGCCGUGUGAGGUACACGGCCUCAAGCACGGGCAUGUGUCCCGACCAUGUGAAAUCUUGAUCGCUUUAUUUCGUGAUAGGUUUUAAAUAUUUAUAAUUACUCGUGCUUGAACUAACUAUUAUCGCGAUGUAGGCAAGUGUACCUAUCGAACAGUAGUAUAGUUUUAGCAAGACCAGAUUGUCGAACCCAAAGGAACUAAAAGUACUAGUAAUGACUGUCUUUUUAUUAUCUAGCCUAAGAAUAAAGAGGUUUUAUUUUAAUUAACUAAUUAUCUAAACUAAGAACGCACAGAGAAAAGAAUUGGGGAAUUCAUUUUGGGAAAAAUCGAUUGACUUAAGACAAUACCUAAGGAAAAAUCCACCUAGACUUUACUUGUUAUUCUGGCUCCGAAUCGGACGAUUUAUACAUUCAACUUGUUCCGUAGAGAUCCCUAAGUUAUGUUAUUAUCCCUAUUCAAGACUAAUAAUAUCUAAUCCCUAGAUUGAAUAACCGAGACUUUUCCCUAAUUUACACUCUAGGGUUGCAUUAACUCGAUCUAUGAAUCCCUUUAUUAGGUUUCACCCUAAUCCGACAAAAUCUUGUCACCCUAUGUCUAGGCGCGCAAUCAACCGCUUAAUUAUGACAAAUGUACUCUUAGACAGGGUCUAUUCCUCCUCUAAAUAAGAGCAUGUCUUGAAUCAGUAUCCUGGGAUAUCAAAACAAGAAUUAAGAACACAUAAUUAAGAACAAGUUAAAUAUUUAUCAUACGAUUCAGAAAAUAAUAACAAGAUUCGUCUUAGGUUUCAUUCCCCUUAGGUAUUUAGGGGUUUUAGUUCAUAACUAAAUAAGAACACAUCUUAGAAUAAUAAAUAAUACAAAAUAUAGAGAAAACCCAAAACUCCUGAAGGGAACUUGAGGAGAGAUCUUCAGUCUUGAUGAUGAAUCCGGCUUCUGAGAUGGAUCAAUCGGCUUCCUUGGAGUAAUUCCUUACUCCUCCUUCUCCGUCUCCUUUUUCUUCCUCCUCUAGGGUGUAUUUAUAGGCUUUGGAAUGCCUAAAAGCCCUCAAAAUUAGCCUUUUUCGAAUUGGAGUCAACUUGGGCUCGGUAGGGGUAUGCCCGUGGCACACGCCCGUGUUCGAUUACUUCAGGCCGUGUUCGAGCCUGCCAAAUUGACACGGCCGUGUGGUCUGCCCGUGUGAGGAGGUUCAGGCCGUGUUGAUUUCGUACUUUGGCCCAUUUUUUCUAUUUUUGGCCUGUUUCUCGUUCCUUUCGCUCUCCUAUACUCUCCUAAGUAUAAAACAUGAAAUUAAAGCAUUAGGAGCAUCGAAUUCACCAAUUCUAAUGAAAAAUCAUCCAUAAAAUGCAUUAAACAUGGGGUAAAAAUAUGUAUAAUUUACGGUUUAUCAAAUACCCCCACACUUAAGCAUUUGCUAGUCCUCAAGCAAAAUUCUCAACUUAUAAUUUCUAUCGAUAAUAUCUCAAAAUAAUCCAUAGGUAAUCAUACAUUGAGAAUUCAACUAAGAGAAUAUAAAAGUUUCAAACAUUCGAAGUUGAGCAUUUUAAUCAUGCAAACAUAGGUGUCUCCCAUCAUUUAAGUAAUUACCUUUGAUUCAGAAUAUCACAGAGUUUCACAUCCUCAUUAAAGAUUCACUCAAAUCACUCGAGGUGUUUAAGGACAAUAAAUGAAGCACUCAAUAGUCAAUAAUGAAAAGUCAUUACCAUAGGCUUGCAUGAAAAUCAAAUCUCCACCACUAUAAUUUAAGAUGAUACAUCAAUCAAAAGGUCUUUAGAGGGUUGUAAUGAGGCUUGGUUAGGGGGUGCGGUCAUAAGCUAAAAGAAAGGGUUAGAAUUGAGAUUGAAUUGAAAAAUUGCCUAACUAGAAAAAGAGUUAAUCUUCACUUGCGUACAACAGAGCUUUUUCUUAGACUAUGAAAUUACAGAUAUGUAUACAAAUUUUUUUUAAAGAAAAAGUUAAAUAAUAUAGAUUAACUAUUAGGAAAAAAACAUAGCUAAGCAAUCCAUUCAACUCAAAUCUCGACAAAAAUAGGGAUUAAUUUAGGGGAUUUCAACAAUAAUGGGCUAAAGGUUAAUAUUGAGGUUAAUACAAGGAAUGGUUUGUUAGGCUCAAAUGGGUGCUGAAUCGCAAGGGCGAUGAAAUAGGCAAGGUCGAUGAUGUGCCCUUGCAACAUGCACCAUAAGAAGUAGACGUUGUGGGUGUUGAUGUCGCCAGUGCUCUCUCGCCUCCCUGUAAUCGUGUGAGCUAAAAUAGCGUGUAAGUACCUUAGGGAUGGUGGGAAAACUGAUGCCUUAGAGCGGCUAGGAUUGUAGGAGGCCGUGCUAAGGGCCAAAGUGUGCCAGCACUUCGAGGGAGAGAAAUGUAUGUGGUGAUUGAGAGCAUGUAGUUCAUUCUCCUCCUUGAAGUCCUCCGUAUAUAAACCUAGUGCAGCACCAAAAUCUAGGAUGCUUAACUGGCAGAUUAAUCCGCCUAGGCGAAAUUGGACCGUGCUAGGAUCAUCGUAUCUUGUCAUUACAGUGUGAAGAUGGAAUGUUGAGCAUAGUUCAAUCGUGAGCUCGAGGUAUGUCGGCUCGAUAAUCCCGAAGAACAGUUCCCAGGGGUCGAUGGUUAAAAGGGCCCAAAUCGCAUCAGCCAUCUGAACUUGUUCUACGGCUGCCCAGUUGAUGCAGCGGCCCGCAAUUAAAGGUCGGGCCCGAAGUAUCUAAAAAAGUUCUUCCUAGGGCCCUCGGGGGAACUGUAGAAAAGGGUGACGAAUUUUCGCGGUCGGACCUGCGGAAGAGGACGCUCAUUUCCUCUUUUUUAAAGCAGGUACGACGGUUUUCUUUCCUCUUGAAGACGACAUUGUGUACCUAUAAGUGGAAACAUCAAUUCGUCUUUUGAUGAGUGGACAAUUUAUAAUAUAUAAAAGGAAUGUGACUAAAUUCGAAAAGGAAAAUGCAUAGCUAUAUUCAGCCACAAUUAUUAAAUUCGAUUAAAACAACUAGUUCAAUGACCCAUUUUUUUGUGGCAUGAGCAUGGUAAUAUAAGUAAAAAUGGCAAGGAAUGGAAUGCAAAAUACUACAUGAAUGAAACGAGAUGUCAACAAAAUAUGCAUGAUUAUUUCAACUAUCCUAGCCAUGAAUAUUCACUUCUAACUAAUUGAAUGAAGUGUAGGAAUCAUGUAAUGAGUAAGAUUUUAAACAUGAGAAAGAUGAUAACUUGUUUGAUAAAUGAAAUUUAUGUGAUUAUCAAUAUGGAAAUAACAUGAAAAAUAUAGAUUAAUAUGAUAAAAAGCAUUAUAAAUCAAUGAAAUAAAAGAAAAAGGAGUUAACAAAUGCUAAGGGGAGAGGUUUGGGCAUAUAGAAUGGAGUUGUAGGUGGCGCACGGGCGUGGCAGGGAGGCCGUGUGGAGUUGCAGUAGUUAGGGUUAGGGUUUUUGAAUGGGGAAGAAAGUGAAUAGUGCAGGGUAUUUAUAGAUUUUGGGCCACACGGCCAGGACACAUGCCCGUGUCCCCCAAUUCACGAAUUUCAAAUUUGGGCACGACUGUCAUUUAGUACACGCUCGUGUUCCUCGGGCGUGUGGGUUCACACGGCCGUGUUGCACAGCCGUGUCUAGCUUCGUUCACUUCUCCCACGCUAGUGUGUGCAAGGCCCACGCCCGUGUUAAUUUAACAGGUUUGACCACGGGUGUUCCACACGGGCGUGUCGCAUGCCCGUGUUGUUUUGGCAGGCUCGUCCACGGUUCUUCUACACGGGCAUGUCUCACGCCUGUGUUGUUUUGGCAAGCUCGACCACGACCAUAUCGCACGGCCAUGAUGUUUUAUAGUAGUCUGUGUUGGGGAAAUCCUUGCCCUGUUUUCACACGGCCUUAAGCACGCCCGUGUGCUUGACCGUGUCUUUGUGAAAACACCUGUAUUCAAGAUUUCUAUUAGUAAGUUAGGAGUUAAAUACCAAAAUUUAAAGAAAUUAAUAUUGUUAGUGCUCGGGUUGCCUCCCGAAAAGUGCUUAUUUAUAGUCUAAGCUCGACUUACCUCUUCAGUGAAUGGUCAUGGUGGUUUGAGGAGUUUAUACUCCUCAUUCCUACAAUCAAUCUCAUCAAAAUAAGGUUUUAAUCGGGCGUUGUUUACCUUAAAAGUGCUGAACUUGGGAUGACUCACCUCCAUCGUACCGAAUGGAAAAAUACUGAGUACCGUAAGAGGGGUUUCCUCAUUCGGUGUGGUAGUGACAAUGUAGGGAUUUGCGGUAUCUAAUAAGACCUUAUCAGCAACCUUAAGUUGAUUUGGAGAGGUAUUGGCCUUGUUUUAGCGUAGUUUCGAUUUUUCGGGUGUUCUUAGUUUGUGCGUCCGCCAUUCAUCGAGUUCCUCGAUUUGUAGUCUUCGAUCUUCAUGAACAGGUCCUCUACUAUUGCUUGGGAAUGACUCGUGUUCUUCCUUCAGACUCAUUUUCUGCAAAGUAGGUUUCACCAUAUUGUUAGGUUUAGUAGAAUGGUUUAAAUGAGCACCUUCAAUUCCUGAUGUGUUGCCAGAAUUGCGAGCUUGAAGGGUGAUUGUUUCGUUUCCCACCCGAAGUGUGAGUUCACCUAUGCCAACAUCAAUGAUGGUUUUAGUAGUUGCUAAAAAGGGUCUUCCUAGAAUUAAAGGAGUGUUGUUAUCAUUUUCUAUGUCUAGAACAAUAAAGUCAAUGAGAAAUAUAAAUUUAUCGAUUUUAACUAGUAAAUCUUCAAUAAUACCUCUAGGAAAUCUUAUAGUUUUAUCUACUAAUUGAAUGCUCAUCCUAGUCUGUUUGGGUUUCCCGAGACCUAGCUGCUUAAACAUUUUAUAAGGCAUGACGUUGAUACUAGCCCCUAGAUCAGCUAAUGCAUGAUUAACAUCUAAACUACAAAUUAAGCAAGGAAUAGUAAAGCUCCCUGGGUCUUUUAGUUUGUUGGGUAGUUUAUUUUGGAGAAUGGCCGAGCAAACUGCGUUCAGCUCCACAUACGACGCCUCAUCCAACUUCCGCUUAUUUACUAAAAGCUCCUUUAAAAAUUUCAUUACGUUUGGCAUCUGCGAUAGAGCUUCAAUAAACGGUAAGUUAAUAUGUAAUUUUUUUAAGAGUUUAAGGAAUUUACCAAAUUGUUCAUCUGAGCGGUCUUUCCUUGUCGCGUUGGGGUAUGGCACACGAGGUUUAUAUUCGAAAGUCACUAGUUUGUUUGUAUUUUGAUCUACCUCACCUUGACCUUUGCUUACCAUAGUUUCUUUCCUCGGUUCUGGUUAAGACUCAACGACUCCUUCAUUAUCUUGAAUAUUAAUUGCAUUGUGUUGUUCCAUUGGGUUAGCUUCGGUAUUACUUGGCAGACUACCUUGUGGUCGUUCGGAGAUUAGUUUGGGAAGCUGGCCUAUUUGAGUUUCGAGCCCUUGGAUCGACGUUUGUUGAUUCUUAAGUGCUGUCUCGGUGUUCUUAAAAUGGGUUUCUGACACUGAUAUGAACUUUGAGAGCAUCUCUUCAAGGUUUGGUUUCUUUUCCUGUUGGUAGGGUGGUUAUUGGUGGCCCGAAGGAUGUUGAGGUCUUUGAUUUCCUUGAUAGCCCCAUGAAAAAUUAGGGUGAUUCCUCCAACCUGCAUUAUAAGUGUUACUAUAUAGAUUGUUUUGAGGUCGGGGAAUAUUACCCAUGUAGUUUAAUUGUUUGUUAUCCAUGUUGUGGCCAUAAGGUUGGUAUUUCGAAUGGUUUGUUCCACCUCCACUUGCUUCGCACUACAUUACUGGGUGAACCUGUGACGAAUUAAGAAACCAUCAAUCUUUUUAGUUAAGAGUUCUACCUAAUUAUAGAGCAUGGUGACCGAAUCGACGUUAUAAACGCCGGCUGUUUUCGUUGGCUUUGUCCUCAUGACUUGCCACUGAUAGUUAUUCACUGACAUCUCCUCUAUAAACUUAUAAGCAUCUUCCGGUGUUUUAUUGUUGAUGGUUCCACCCACUGCUCUGUCAACCAUUUGCCGAGUUGAAGGAUUCAGACCAUUGUGAAAUGUUUGUACUUGGAGCCAAAGCGGUAACCCAUGGUGAGGGCACUUUCUCAGAAGGUCCUUGUAUCUCUCCCAUGCAUCGUAGAGUGUUUCUAAAUCCAUCUGCACAAAAGAAGAGAUAUCAUUACGUAAUUUAGCCGUUUUAGCAUGUGGAAAAUAUUUUAGUAAAAAAAUUUCGGUCAUUUGUUCCCAAGUAGUAAUUGACCCUCGUGGUAACGAGUUCAACCACUGUUUAGCUUUGUUCCUCAAUGAAAAGGGAAACAACCAAAUACGUAUGGCAUCAUCAGAAACAUAAUUAAUUUUAAAUGUAUCGCAUAGUUCUAAGAAGUUGGCUAAAUGAGCGUUGGGAUCCUUAUCCUGCAAACCAUCAAACUGAACAAAUUACUGUAUCAUUUGAAUAGUGCUAGGUUUUAAUUCAAAAGUAUUUGCAGCUACAACAGGUCUAACUAGGCUAGGUUUAGUUCCUGCUAAAGAAGGUUUAGCAUAAUCAUACAUAGUGCAUGGAGCAGGAUUUUGAUUAACCGCAAUUGCAGGAGGUAGCUGAUUGCCUUGGUUUUCAGUCAUCUCUUCGGUUGGGGGUUGAGUAUCGUCUUCUUGCUCGUUCUCCGUGUAUCUUAAGUUGUGCCUUAUUUUUCUUUGGUUUUUACAAACUGUACGAUCGAUUUCUUCAUCAAAAAGUAAUGGUCCCGAUAGGUUUCUUCUAGUCAUAAACUAUAAAAACCUGUCAAGAGAAAGAAAAAGUAAGUUAAUAAAUAAUAAAAUUAAAUUAAAUUGCAAGAAAAAUAAAUGGCUAAAGUAAUAAAAAUUAAGCGUUCCUAAUAUUUCAGUUCCCCGGCAAUGGUGCCAAAAACUUGAUCGCGUUAUUUUGUGAUAGGUUUUAAAUAUUUAUAAUUACUCGUUCUUGAGCUAACUAUUAUCGCGAUGUAGGCAAGUGUACCUAUCGUACAGUAGUAUAGUUUUAGCAAGACCGAAUUGUCGAACCCAAAGGAACUAAAAGUACUAGUAAUGACUGUCUUUUUAUUUUCUAGCCUAAGAAUAAAGAGGUUUUGUUUUAAUUAACUAAUUAUCUAAACUAAGAACGCACAGAGAAAAGAAUUGGGGAAUUGAUUUUGGGAAAAAUUGAUUGACUUAAGACAAUACCUAAGGAAAAAUCCACCUAGACUUUACUUGUUAUUCUAGCUCCAAAUCGGACGAUUUAUUCAUUCAACUUGUUCCGUAGAGAUCCCUAAGUUAUGUUAUUAUCCCUAUUCAAGACUAAUAACAUCUAAUCCCUAGAUUGAACAACCGAGACUUUUCUCUAAUUAACACUCUAGGGUGGCAUUAACUCGAUCUAUGGAUCCCCUUAUUAGGUUUUUGUAAUUUAUAGCUCUAAUCUAUUCCACUAAAAUUUUAGGGAAAUAAGAUUUGCUAUCUUUAACCUGCUCCGCUGCAACUUCAGGGAGAUAAGACUUGUUUUGAUCUGCUCUACUGCAACUGCAGAGAGAUAAGAUCUGUAACUUAUAGCUUCAAUCUGUUCUACUGCAACUUCAGGGAAAUAAUAUUUGCUAUCUUUAACCUGCUCCGCUGCAACAUCAGGGAGAUAAGACUUGUUUUGAUUUGCUCUAAUGCAAAUUCAGAGAGAUAAGAUCUAUAACUUAUAGCUUCAAUCUGUUCCACUACAACUUCAGGGAAAAAAGAUUUGCUAUCUUCGGCCUGCUCCGCUGCAACUUCAUGGAGAUAAGACUUGUUUUGAUCUGCUCUACUGCAACUUCAGAUAGAUAAGAUCUGUAAUUUAUAGCUUUAAUCUGUUCCACUGCAACUUCAAGGAAAUAAGAUUUGCUAUCUCUGGCCUGUUCCGCUGUAACUUCAGGGAGAUAAGACUUGUUUUGAUCUGCUUUACUGCAACUUCAGAGAGAUAAGAUCUGUAAUUUAUAGCUUCAAUCUGUUCCACUGUAACUUUAGGGAAAUAAGAUUUACUAUCUUUAGCCUGCUCCACUGCAGUUUCAGGGAGAUAAGACUUGUUUUGAUCCGCUCUACUGCAACUUCAGAAAGAUAGAAUCAUUUGUCUUCAGUCUGCUCCUCUGCAACUUCAGGGAGAUAAGACUUGCGGUUUUGACCUGCUCCACUGUAACUUCAUGGAGAUAAGGUUAAUGAUUUCACCGAUGUUGCUGCACUGUCCUUUAUGGACAUGAUUUGUAGAAUCGACUUCAUGUACCUAUGCUGAUGCCGAAUGAUUAGGAUGCUAUGAUCGAAAUGAAUCAAUGCUCCUAACUAAAUGUGUAUGACUGAUGUUUGUAUAAAUGCAAAAUGUCAUGUUUAAUUUGAUAUUACUCGUUAUUUAUCAAGGUUUUAUCAAUGAUGUAUUAUUAAGUGUUUUUUUAGGUUAGUUGGUAUCCCUGGCAAAAAACCCAGAGAAUAAACACAAUUUGGGACUAUUCUUUCCUACGUUUCCAACCUUUGAAUUUGGGGUAGUUUUAACUAUUUGGUCCCGUUUCAGGUCCUUGCACUAUUUAUAAGUGUUUCAGAGUAAUAUGCAGAACUUCUUUUUUGAAUAUCAUUAGUCCAUUAAUCAUCAUUUCAAUGAAAAAUGCUUGAAAAAGAUUAUCGCAAUGGGCAAGAUGGAAUUUUAUUGAAGGCAAAGCUCGAAAUGAAUAAGAUAAUCACGACAGUAAAUUUUGCUAAGAUACAAAAUGGAUAGAAUGAAAAUAGGUGCCCCAGAUAUUGUAGCAUGAGCUUCUCUGCACGGAACUUCUUGAGAACCUUUUGAACUUUAUAUGUGUUUAGGAGACCAAGAGUACUUUAUUGAUGCCUCAAGAUGUCGCAUCCCUCCUCCUUGUUAAUUCAGAGAAGACAAGUCUACCACAUGCCCUAUGUUUGAUCAAAAUUUGAAUUGCCCAUUCCUGGGUUUUCAACUCAAAACCCUUUUGGUCUCAAAGCACCUUUUCGCAAGUUUUCGCCUUAGCCUCUCCUUUUUUUUUACGUCUCAAAGUGCCCUUUGCGGGUUUUCGCCUUGUCCUCUCCCUCUUUAGGUGAAAUACUUCUUGACGAAAUCUGAAUUCACAGGAUUGGGCAAGUUUUUACCAUCCAUUUCGACUAAGAUCAAUGCUCCACCAAAAAAGGCUUUUUCACCAUAUAAGGUCCUUCCCAAUUUGGCAUCCAUUUCCCUCUGAAAUCUUUUUGUAUGGGAAGGAUCUUUUUCAAAACCUGAUCCCCUUCGCGGAAUUCUCUAGGGCGCACCUUCUUGUUAUAAACCCGCAUCAUUCGCUUUUGGUACAUUUGACCAUGGUGAAUAGCUUUAAACCUCUUUUCUUCAAUUAAGUUUAGCUGAUUGUACCGUGACUGGAUCCAUUCUGCUUCGUCUAACUUUCAUUCUAACAGCACUUGUAGAGAAGGAAUUUCAACCUCAAUAGGUAGGACCGCCUCCAUUCUAUAAAUCAAAGAGAAAGGUGUUGCCCUAGUGGAGGUUUUGACUGACGUUCGGUAGGCGUAGAGGGCGAAUGGUAAUUUCUCAUGCCAAUCUUUAUAAGUCUUAGUCAUUUUUCCCACGAUCUUCUUGAUGUUCUUGCUGGCCACUUCCACCACACCAUUCAUUUUUGGGCGAUAUGGUGACGAGUUAUGGUGUUUGAUCUUGAAUUGGCUACAGACCUCAGCUAUCGUGCUGCUGUUCAAGUUCAAUGCAUUGUCUGAUAUGAUCCUCGCAGGCAUCCCAUUUCGACAUAUGAUCUCUUUCUCUAAGAACUUGCUGACUGUCGAUUUUGUGACGUUGGCGUAAGAAGUGGCCUCUAUCCACUUGGUGAAGUAAUCGAUGACCACAAAGAUGAAUCGAUGCCCAUUAGAUACCUUUGGCGAGAUUGGCCUUAUGACAUUCAUGCUCCACAUGGAUAAAGGCCAUCGAGAAGUCAUGACAUGGAGAGGUGAAGGAGGCACAUGAAUCUUAUCUCCAUAAAUUUGACAUUUAUAGCAUUUCUUGGCAUAGUUGAUGCAAUCCCCCUCCAUAGUGGACCAAUAAUAUCCGAAUCUCAUAAUUUUCCAGCCAUUAUGAAACUGUUAGCAUGUGUUCCGCAAACACCCUCAUGGACCUCUUCCAAGAUUUGCUUAGCCUCGACAGCAUCCAUACAUCUUAAGAGCACCUGAUCCUUCCUUCUUUUAUAUAGGAUCUCUCCGUCCAAGACAUAGUCACUGGCUAGCCUUCUCAAUGUCCUUUUAUUAUUUUCUGUCUCUUGGUCUGAGUAUUCACGAUUCCUCACAUAUCGCAAUAUAUCCUGAUACCAAGGGUGAUCGUCCUUUUCUUCUUCUUCUUCGAUGUUGUAACAAUGAGCCGGAGUCUCAAAGAUGCUCAUUUGGAUAGGCUUCAUAUCCUCCUGCUUGUUUACUUUGAUCAUUGAAGCUAAAGUUGCCAAGGCAUCAGCCAUUUGGUUUUCAUCUCGUGGGAGGUAAUAGAAAGUGAUAUCAUCAAACUCCUCGAUUAACUCCAGAACCAGCCUUCGGUAAUUGAUCAACUUGAGGUCUCUUGUCUCCCAUUCACCCCCAGUUGAUAAAUCACUAAUGUGGAAUCCCCGUAUAAAUCUAAUACCUUGAUCUUGUGUUCGAUGGCUGCACGGAUACCCAUGAUGCAUACUUCGUAUUUGGCCAUAUUAUUUGUGCAAUCAAAAUUCAAUUUACUGGUGAAAAGAUAAUGAUCUCUGUUUGAGGAUAAUAAGACUGCCCCGAUUCCGUUACCCAUAACAUUUGAGGCUCCAUCAAAAUUCAGUCUCCAAGGAUGAUCUUCUUGAGAGUCUUCUUCCGUGGUUGCAACAUACAUUAGAUCCUCAUUCGGGAAAUCAAAGCUCAAAGGCUCAUAAUCUUUUAGAGCCCUGCUGGCCAAAAAAUCUGCUAUUGUACUUCCUUUUAUCAAAUUCUGGUUCACGUAGACUAUGUCGAACUCCGAAAGCAAAACUUGCCAACAAGCCAUUCUUCCGUUCAAAUCAUUUGACUCCAUCAUGUACUUCAGAGGGUCUAGUUUUGAGAUGAGCCAAGUCGUGUGGUAUAGCAUACUGUCUCAGUCUUCGGGUUGUCCAAAUUAAAGCACAACAUAAUUUCUCAAUCGACGAGUAUCUUGUCUCACAUUCAGUGAAUUUCUUACUGAGAUAGUAUAUCACUUUUUCUUUUCUUCCUGACUCAUCGUGUUAGCCUAACACACACCCCAUGGAGUUUUCGAACAUUAACAAAUACAGUAUCAGUGGAUGGGCAAGGUGGCAUCACCAUUAGGGCAUUGGACAGGUAAUGCUUGACCUUAUCAAAAGUUUUCUGGCACUCCUCAUCCCAUACACCUAGGAUGUGUUUCCUAAGGAGACGAAAUAUUGGGUCACAUUUCUCUAUUAGUUGUGAAAUGAACCGGGCGAUGUAAUUUAGUCUUCCUAGGAAUCCUCGAACUUCUUUUUGAGUGCGUGGCGGAGGUAAUUCUUGUAUGGCCUUGACUUUAUCUGGGUCAAUUUCAAUCCUCUUUUCACUGACUACGAAUCCUAACAACUUUUCUGACCUGGCGCCGAAGGUUCAUUUUGCGGGAUUAAGCUUUAGCUGAAACUUUCUUAAUCUUAAGAACAGUUUCCUUAAGACUUGUAUGUGCUCAUUUUCUGUUCUGGAUUUCACAAUCAUAUCAUCGACGUAAACUUCAACCUCCUUGUGCACCAUAUCAUGGAACAAGGUUACCAUGGCUCUCUGAUAUGUUGCUCCUGUGUUUUUCAGUCCGAAUGGCAUCCCCUUACAACAAAACAUUCCCCACAUGGUCACGAAUGUGGUCUUUUCCAUAUCUUUAGGAUGCAUCUUUAUCUAGUUGUAUCCCGAAAAGCCAUCCAUAAAAGAGAAAAGUGAGUAACCUGCUGUGUUAUCCACUAAUGUAUCAAUGUGAGGUAAUAGGAAAUUAUCUUUUGGGCUGGCUUUGUUUAAAUCCUGAUAGUCCACACACAUUCGUACUUUCCUAUCUUUCUUCUUGGCUGCCCAUUCUGAGUACUUAACCACUUUUAAGAAGUCGGCAUCGAAUUGUUUCUUGACCUCUUUUUUAUCUUUAACAGAACAUUGAGUCUCAUCCUUCAGAGUUUCUGUUGAACUGGCUUGCACUCUUCCUUUAUGGGGAGCCCGUGUACCACAAUAUCGGUAUUCAAACCGGACAUGUCUUGAUAUGACCAUGCGAAGACUUUUUUGAAUUCUUGUAGUAGCUCAAUGAGGUCUCGCUUUGUCUCCGCGACGAUACAGGCUCCAAUUUUCACCUCUUUUCCCUCUCCUAAGCUCGCAAUUUCCACUAACUCCUUGUGAGGUAGGAUUUGUUUCUCAUCUUGUUCUACCAUCUUUAACAAAUCGGGGGAUUGGUUACAGUUUCGGUCAUCUUCAAAAUCUUGAGAAUCCUCUGUACACAUAUCUUGCUCAAAAGGAGACUUUGAGUCAGUAGCAGCGUUACUCAUAUCAUUGAUAUCUAGAGACCUGUUAUAAGGAUGAAGAGAAGUCCAAAAAAUAAAAGAAUCUAAGAAUAUUUAUUGGUGGUAUGAUUAUGAAUGAAAUAGAAAGAAUAAAAGAAUAUUUGCUCAACAUGAUACGCAAAGAUGCAUUUUUUAUUGAAAUAACGAUAUUGGAUAAGAGCCUAUUUCACAAAAGGAUUGUUAUUGCCCCUAGGCUUAAUGCAAUAAGCUUGUUUUGGACAUUACUAUGAAUUAAUUUUAAAAGUUAUAGGGAUCUCUUCUGCGGUACAAUUGUUCAAAAUGCUCCUAGGCACGUAUGGGCAAAUGCCUAAUUAUCCUCUUCUCUUAUUUCUUCCUCAGAUACGAUGUUAAUGCUCAAAUUUUCCAACAUUUCUUCGGUGGACCCCUUCCUUGUCGAUCUUCCUUCAGAGUAAAUAAUCCCCCCCGACACAAAUGUUCUGUAAAUAUGAGGAAAGGUCAUUGGCUCACAUUUGACAUAUUCCCCGCUUAAACGCGUUCUUCUCAUUUCUUGCUUCUUCUCUUGCUCCUUUUUCUUUUGCUUCAUAUUUGGCUUGAAUCCUAAGCCAAAAUAGUGUCGUUUGUCCAUGAGCAUGGGUGCCUCUAUUCUUCUUUGUAGAUUUCUUCCAAGCCCCUUCCCGAGCAAAGCUCCUUUCCCAACCAUCAAUUGUGGGCCAUCUUUGUAGUUUUGGAAAUUUUUGGGCAUCGGGACCUUAUCUCCUUUGAUAAUGAAAGUCACGUUUACAAAUUCUAAUGACCGAAAAGAACAUUCUAUGGCUUCAUCAUCUGUUCCCACAUAUGGUGCAUUGCUGGUAACGGAUGCAAUGAUAUCCUCUUCUGCUUUUAUGGUCACCAAUCGGCCUUCCGUUAUAAAUUUGAGCUUUUGAUGUAACAAUGACGGUACUGCCCCCACCGAGUGAACCCAUGGCCUUCCCAAUAAGUAGUUGUAAGAGGGUUUGAUGUCCAUCACCAAGAAAUCUACCUCGUACGUGCUUGGACCGAUUAAAAGGGGUAUUUCAAUCCUCCCCAUUACUUUUCUUUCGGUGCCAUCAAACACCCUAACUACAUUUUGGCAUGUCUUCAUAUGGGAACUAUCCACUGGCAACCUAUUCAGUGUAGAUAGGGGUAGGAGGUUUAAUGCCGAUCCAUUAUCGAUCAAUACCCCUGGUAAUGUGUACCCUUUACAACGGGUGGUGAUGUGCAAGGCCUUUGUGGAUCCCAUACCUCCCGGUGGUAUUUCGUCAUCAUUAAAGAAGAUAAAAUUGUCAGCACUGAUGUUGUUGACCAGACGAUCAAGUUUGUUGACUGAGAUAUCAUCCGCAACAUUAUUUCAUUUAACACUUUCAUUAAUGUGCUCCGAUGUGUCUCCGAGCUCAAAAGUAAGGCUAGCACUGAAAUACGAGCCGGAUGCUUAUGUAGCUGUUUUACAACAUUGUAUUUGCUGUGCUUUAAGAAUUUCAAGAAUUCUCUAGCCUCUUUUUCAGUCACUGGCUCGUUAAUUGGUGAUUCAAUCCUGACCAUCUUCUCUUUCCUUUGCUCGACCGUCGGGGCCUUUUCUUUGACAAUUUCAGUUCUUAUACCCGCAGGAUCAUAAUGUCUCCCAUUGCGUGUAUAGAAACCUACUUUUUAGCUCUCCCCUGAAGCACUAGUCGGAUUUUCCUCCUCCGAGAUUGUCACGUUGCAGUCAUAGUUCCAGGGAAACCUUUUGCUAUCCAUGUAGGGAAAUGAUACGGGUUUCUGAAUUACGACUCUCGGUGCCAUUUGUACUCCUGCUUCAUUAUUCCUAGGUCGCGAGAUGAUCACCACAGUAUGAUUAACUCUUUAGACCCCUUCUGUUGUUCUCUUUUUUGAGGCGUAAACCUCUCCUUCCUCUGAUCCUCUGAUUUUUUCAUAAAAUUCCAUCUCCUUAUUGUCCAUCAUAGUUUGCACUAUGGACCUAAACUCAUUGCACUCUUGGAUGUCAUGGCCAUUAUCGGCAUGAAACUCGCAGUAUCUUCUCGCUUCUUUGGGCCUUUCCCUUGAAUGCUAUAUGACUAAACCUGCUUCCACUAUCCUCUUCCAAACCCAUUUCAAUGGGGUUUUUACCUCUGAUACAUCCAUGUUGGUUCUCCUCCCUCCAUUUUCAAUUAUCACAUUUACCCCUUUGUCUGAAUGACUAGGUAGCGAAUUCCCUGCCACAUUAGGUCUUGUGGAUCAUCGAACUUCACAAUGCCCAUGUCUAAGAGUCUUUCAACUAUCUUUUUGAAGGCAGUGCAGUUCUCAAUCAUGUGUCCCGGGAUUCUUGCAUGGUAUUCACAUUGAGCGUUUGCGUCAUACCACUUAGGGAAUGGAGGUUGCAGGGGUUUCAAGCAGUAAGGUGACACCACAUGAGCAUCGAAUAAGCUCUGAUACAAUUCCUUGUAUGACAUCGGGAUAGGUGUAAACUGGAGCCCCUAUAUAUUUGGCUUUGGGUUGAACUCUUGUCUUGGGGAGCUUUGAUGGCUAGUAGUCACCGUCCUCGGCUGGCUUACGGUGACUGGCUUGGAAUAACUCUUAUUGUACACGCUUGUAUUGUUCACCUCGUUUUCUUUCCUUCUCGGAGCUGAUUUCUUGGCAUUUUCCCCUGCUUCGAUCUUCCCGCAUCUUAUCACAUUUUCUAUCAUCUCCCCAAACAUUACUAUAUCUGAGAAGCUCUUAGUAGCGCUUCCCAGCAUGUGGUUGAUUCAGAGUAUUGAUAAAGAGCAUGGUCAUUUCUUUCUCUAGAAGAGGUGGUUGGACUUUCGUCGCCACCUCUCUCCAUCUUUGGACGUACUGCCUGAAGCUUUCAUUUUGUUUCUUCUCCAUGUUUUGCAACGUGAUUUGAUUGGGUGCUAUGUCUGUCACGUGGCCAUAUUGCUUCAUGAAAGCUUGUGCCAAGUCUUUCUAUGAAUGGAUUUGAGUACGGCUUAGUUGGUUGUACCAUUUGGCCGUAGAUCCAACCAAACUGUCUUGGAAGCAAUGGAUCAAUAGUUGAUCAUUGUGAACGUAUCAUGCUAUCCUUCGACAAAAUAUGGUGAUGUGAGCUUCUGGACAACUAGUUCCAUUGUAUUUUUCGAAAUCUGGGGUUUUGAACUUAGGAGGGAGCACUAAUUUUGGGACCAAACUUAAGUCUUUGGCGUCUAUUCCGCAAUGGUAAUCAGCAUUCUCCAUUGCUUUGAGUUUUUCUUCCAGUCAUCUGUAUUGAUCAUCCAAUUGUUUUGGAGGUUCCACCCUUGUUUUCUCCAUCUCUGCUAUAUUAUCGAGAUCAGGAACAAGGGGAUUGGUUGGGUUAUCUCCAGGAUUAGAACCCGAGCCUGUUUGAUAAUUCAUCGGCGCUGAAGUAUCAGUUUGAUGCUGCUAAGGCCUGUUAGUAAAGGGUACCCCUCGUGGGUACACUUCUGGUGAUGUUUGGACGUUGAUUGGAGUAAAGCCUGGGGGUAGAUAGGAUCCUCAUUUUUAUUCGCAGUACUCUUCCCUUUUUCACGUUCUCUGACCAAUAACUGGGCCAAUUGGCUUAACAUAUUAUUUUGGGACUCUUGCAUUUGUUCCUUCAUAUCUUGUUGUAUUUUAGCUAACUACUCUUGCAUCUGCGCUUGGAAUUGCUCUUGCAUAUCUUUUUGCAUUUUUUCUAGUCUUUGUAGUCUCUGAUCCAUUACUUUAGUUUUGUGACGGGUAUUGUAGCAGUAUUCGAUUGGUUAACUCUUGUUGGUUUCCAGGUUAACUGAAAUAAUUUGGUUUAAUUAGGGUCUUUUCAUGAAAUUUAAUGCAUCUGACGAAAUGUAAUGCAAAUGAAUGAAAUGAAUGCAAAAAGAGGCGUUGAUUUUGAUUCAAUUUCAUUAGAACAACUUUACUAGAAGAAAAAUUUCUUUACAUAGAGCGGAUGAUUACAUAUACGACUUUGCCCUAAUACCCAAAGCCUUAACUUUCCUAAGAAGCCAAGCUAAGUUUCGGCCUCGUUCUGAUUCUAACUUGUACUUUAAGCUUAAUACAUCAGCCAGAACUGCCAAUGUUUGCAAAUGAUCGGCUACCUCUCGAACUUGAGCCACAGUUUCGCCCAUGACAUAAUCUCUAUCUCUGAUUUGAUUUUGAGAGCGGUGAAGUUGUUCUUUGCAAUAUUCAUUGUUUGCCUUAAGGAAUUCCACUAGACUUUUGCUGUCUUGUAGUAUCGUCUCGAGUUCCUCUAUUUUCCCUUUCAACUCCUCGAUCUUGGUUAGACUGGUCUUCAACUCAAUUACGGAAUUAUAGCUACGAUGCAGAUGUAGUGACUUUUCCAAUUCGGCUAUCCGAGCUUGUAAUUUCUCUUUUUCGCUUUAGCUUUCUAGCAAACUAUUUUUCAAAAUGUCCUCCCGCAUUCGAACGUCUUGAAACUUCUUCUCCCAAUGAUCGGCUUUAGUCUUUUCUUUUUCAAUUUCUUGAUGUCAUUGCUCCGACGUUUUACCCAAACUGACAGUUCUUAUCGACAUACGUAGCUUCUUAUAAUUAGUCUUCAGACUAUCUAAGUCCUCUCCGGCUUUGUUUUUCCCUUUCCUUAGCCUCUUGGCCUCUAGCUUAUGGAUGUCGAUGUCUAAUCCUAACUGCAUCUUUUCCUCCUCUAAUUGCUCUAUCUUCUUUCCCAAUUUCGAGCUCAUUUUCUCAAAAUCUUGCUUGAUGAUCUCUAACUCGGACGGGACUAGUUGUAAAUGCUCUUCUAUCGGUCGAGUAUUCCCUUUAUUCAUCCUAAAGAUGUUGUCGUUGACUCUCCUACCCUACCACCUUUCAUAUUCGGGGGUCGUCAUCGGCCAGCGGUGAAUCCUUUCAUUCUUCGGGUUUGGUUCCAAGCAUCUAAUAUCUUACAAACCUUCUUCUUAUAAUUGCUGUCCUUAUAAGAGAACUUACAUUGAGCUAACCCUUGUGUCACCGGUAUAAACUGCCUCGAUCGAUACUGCCUUAACACAAAUAGUGGAGCGUAUCCAACAGCUCCCCAUAUUCCAGCUAGAGGGACCCAGCCAAAAUCACCGCACCGAUAUAAGAUUUUGUCAGGGAUCAACCAUGGAGCCCUCCAUUCAAUAUCUUCGCCUUGCAAACUCUGGAGAAUAGCUAUCCAUUUUUCUUCUAAGAUGUCAUCCCGCCUCAGUGUAGCCACUAAUUCUCUUAAUGGGAAAUAGUCUUUGGAGAAAAUUCGAUAAGAGACUUUUUCUACUUUCCAAAAGUGGCUGUGGAACCAAGUCAACAAUAACUGCGCACAUCCUACGAACCUUCCUUCACCCGUCCUUCGACAUGCGUUCAAGGAUCUGAAGGUUUUUGCUAGGACCGCCGGGACGGGUGUGGUCCCUUUAUCAAGUCGAUCAAAUAAAUCUGAGACGGCCUCAUCUACAUGUCCUAAUGCUUUGGGAAAUAUGAUCAAACCGUAGAGACUCAAGGCGAAAACGUCAACCCUCUUCUUCAUAUUCGGGUGUGCCAGGAUCAAGUCCAUCAAAUUCUUUCAAUGCGUACACUUACUAUCCCCUUUCUGCUUGAUCCGGGCUGCAACCCCUUAUUCUCUCAUCCCCGUGAUAUUCAUCAAUUUCUUCAAAAAAGGCGGGACGUUAACAGGUCUUGAAUAGGCCCUGUCAGCUUGAAUCUUCGGGCAAUUAAGUAAAGCCAUGUAUUCCUCCACAGUAGGUACCAAAUCAACUCCCCGAAAAGUGAAGCAGCUGUAGGUGGGGUUCCAAAAUUGGGCAAGAGCUCAGAAUAAGCGUUUUUUUCUAUUUUCACCUCGAGUAAAUAGUGCAAGUCUCCAAAAUUAUGAUAAAAUAAUUGCUUGAUCUCGUUGUUCCAACCGUUCCAUAUCUCUUUUAAUUCUUACAGGUCAUUCUGGGCCACACUGAUGCGAGUAAAAUCCCAUAAUUCUGACUGAUAUCCCUCAGUCAAACUAUCACCUUUCUCUUGCUGUGCCUUUUCGGACCAUAUUCAGACGGCCGCAUUUUCUUCCACUCUAUCAAUAAAUCCUUUUUCCAUGCUAAGCUUUUCUAUCUAGUAACUGAAACAUGAAUCAACACCUUUUUAUAAUGUAAUGCCAUGCAAUAAUAGGAAAACACAACAAGUCAGUAUUAUAUACAAACAUAAUAGAACUCAAAGUAAGUAGGAAAUAAUUAAGCACCUGUUCGGGUAACCGCUAGGGUUUGGUGUAAUUCUACCUAAGGCGGGUUCCUAUAGCUCGCUAAAUGCGGUUUGGUUCUAAAGUAAAGGUUCCUGAACUAGCAGAUUCCUCAAUCCUCACCCAUUAUAGGCUCAUAUAGACCGAGUUCAGUUCAGGGGAAUACAUUUCCCUAUGGCUGCACGGAGAUGAAAAUCUCACGAAGACAUAAGUACGGAUGUAUCCCGAAAGCGAUCCACUAUCCUACACGGAGGUGAAGACCUCACGAAGGAAUAAUUUCUCACUCCCACUUAAGAGGUAUGACCACAACGGUCAUACAAUGCAAUGUGUGAGGAUACAUGCAUAAAAAAAAACUUGAAGCAAUAAAUAAAAUAGGAAUGAAAUGAUGAAAACUGUAAGAAAAACGGAUGAAAUGCAAUGAAGGGAUUGUAAGUUUAAAAUGAAUCUUCAAUUUUCGAAAAAGGAUAAAGAUUAAUCAAUUUAUGGCUCGACUCUCUAGUGUUUCCCUAGUAGAGUCGCCAAGCUAUCGAAACCAUUUUUGAAAACAACGGGGUCAACUUGAUUUUGGAAAUGAAAACGAAUAAAAAAGAGAGUCGCCACCAAUCUUUUUGACGAGGUGUGAUCAAAUCACCUAGAAAUUUGGUUGUUUUAAUAAAAUAUUUCAAUUUACUAAAACAACGAUUUUGUUCUACGAUAUUUGAGAAAAUGGGUUCGGGAUUCGGUUACGUACGAGGAAGGAUUAGCACCCUCGUAACACCCAAAAGUGGUACCUAGUUGAUUAAUUAGUGUCUUAGUAUUGAAAAUCGAAAAGAUUUUGAAAGAAAUUUUAAGAUAUGAUCCCUUUUCAUGAAUACUAAUUAUAAAACGCUUGGAUUAUGUUGAAACGAGCAUCAAAGACUCACUCGUCCCGAGAUAGUAAGGUAUCACAUCAGUAAGUUAGGACGCGACGUUUAAAUCUCUGAGAGCAAGUUUGCCUUUAAUCUUUAUCGAAAAUUUAUGUAUUUUGAAAUCUAAAAGGAUAUUUAGGUUUUUAGGUUCAACAAGAAAAUCAAAAUCCAGUAAGUUAGGGUACGAUUUCUUGAAUUCCCGAAACGCGAAAUAUUGCCUUACUUUGAAUAAAACGAAUGCAACAUUUAGCAAUGUGCGUUUAUUUUGUUUGGAAUAAAACAGUCCAUAUUUGGAUUCACAUUUGGAGUUAAUGAUUUAAAUGGAAUGAAAUAAAGAGAAUAUAGAGCACGAAGUAAUAACAUGAAUUACAUGCUAGGUUAAUGAAUGUCAACAACAUGGAUAUAUUAGCAAAUAAUUUCUAGGGCACAUAAUGGGCAUGUUCACAAAAUACACCAUUUCAAGAGAUCAACAUUAUUAAUCACAAAAGAAUGAAAUGAAGUAAUAAAUGAAAAAUUUUGAAGCUAAUAAAAUGGUUUGAAAUAAAUAACAAAUGAAAUGAUUAUGAAUAAAGAAUAUAAAAAAGGGGUUUCAAAUGAAUGAUGUAUAAAACUUAAAAUAAAUAAUAAAAAGAGCAGUAAAAUACACAACAUAUAAAAAUUUCUAAAAUGAAUCAUAUAAAAUAGUUUAAGUUAAAUACUAUGGAUAAAAAUUUUAAAAGGGUAACAUAUGAAGUAAUCUAAAAUAAAGAGUAUAUAAAAACAUUUUAAAAUUAUGAUAUAUAGGAAGUUUAGGAUAGAUAAUAAUAAAGAUGAAUUUAAACGGUUAACAUAAAACAAAUAAAGAUUUAAAACUAGGUAAUAUAUAAAAAUAAUUUAAGAUGAAAUAUAUAUAAUAUCAAAAUAUAAUAGUUUAAAAAUAAUAUAUAUAAAAUUUAAAAUGAACAAUAGCAUAAUACCUGGAAGAACUUAAAAUGAAUAUCAAUAGAAUGAUUUAAGAUAAAUAAUAAAACAAUCCAAUGAUACAUAGAAUAUUUAACAGGUGAAAUAUAAGACUAUUUAGAAUAAAUAAUUACAUAUUAAAGGAAUAAAUAAAGGAAAAAAGAAUUAGAAUCAGGAAUAAAUAAAGAAAUAAAAAAAUUAUAAUCAAACUGAUUAAGGAUAAAAUUGGACCAAAAACGAAGUCAAAAGUAAAAACUGUAAUAAAAUAAAAACACGGGGUCAAAAAUAAGAAAAUACGCAAGGUUUGAGGACUGAUCGGGAAAUUAUUCCUUAAGUUCUCUGUGCACCGUUUCACACAGGACUAAAAUGAAACAGCCACAAAACCCUGGGGCAAAAUUUAAAAAUAAAAUAAAAGGAAGAAAAUGAUUAGGUCGACAAUCGCAUAGAAACGGAAGGAUCAAAGUGGCAAAUAGCCCAACGAUCUGAAAACGCGCGGACCCCCUAGAGCGGGUCGGAUCGCACGCGGAUAACCCGAUACGAUGCCGUUUCAGCACCGAUUUCCUUGACGCAAAACGAUGAUGUUUUGCUUUGCCUUUUAGGUUAGUUUUCCAUUUCUUUCUCUUCCAUUUGUUUCCUUUUCUAAAAAAUCAGAAAACCUCCCCUUUUUCCCACUUUCCUUUUCGGCUAGGGUUUUGAAACCUAUCAUCGCCGACGCCUUUGCGAUGCCAUCGUAGGUGCUGGUCGAAGCGGUACAAAAUAGGCUUUCUAGCCCUUGUAUAAAACGCCUUCGAAGACCAAGCUUUCUCAACAAAAGAACGAGAGAAAAUGGCUAUUUCUCCUUUUUUAGAUUCAGUUUUACCGAAGGAGAAGAAACUCCGACGACGCUAUCCCAGGGUUCAGGUAAUCUUCUUUUCUCUUUUUCUUUUUAUAUUUUUUGUUAAAAAUAGAUUUGAAAUCAGAAAAUAAGAAUACGAAAAAAAAAACCAAGAUUCAACCUUUUGUUUUUUGCUUU
This 42018-nucleotide long non-coding RNA is filed under the name Gossypium barbadense (sea-island cotton). RNAcentral describes it as "long non-coding RNA (GBAR_LNC000335)". The stretch from base 26669 to 26775 matches the Rfam family "Plant small nucleolar RNA R71". The record is from RNAcentral. Lineage: Eukaryota; Viridiplantae; Streptophyta; Magnoliopsida; Malvales; Malvaceae.